Molecule: ribosomal RNA, 468 nt
Filed under: uncultured bacterium
Lineage: Bacteria
Description: partial 16S ribosomal RNA
Rfam family: Bacterial small subunit ribosomal RNA
Source: RNAcentral
GACGAACGCUGGCGGCGUGCCUAACACAUGCAAGUCGAACGGAAAGGCCCUGCUUUUGUGGGGUGCUCGAGUGGCGAACGGGUGAGUAACACGUGAGUAACCUGCCCUUGACUUUGGGAUAACUUCAGGAAACUGGGGCUAAUACCGGAUAGGAGAUCCUGCUGCAUGGUGGGCGUUGGAAAGUUUCGGCGGUUGGGGAUGGACUCGCGGCUUAUCAGCUUGUUGGUGGGGUAGUGGCUUACCAAGGCUUUGACGGGUAGCCGGCCUGAGAGGGUGGCCGGCCACAUUGGGACUGAGAUACGGCCCAGACUCCUACGGGAGGCAGCGGUGGGGAAUAUUGCACAAUGGGCGGAAGCCUGAUGCAGCAACGCCGCGUGCGGGAUGACGGCCUUCGAGUUGUAAACCACUUUCGCCUGUGACGAGGCGUGAGUGACGGUAAUGGGUAAAGAAGCACCGGCUAACUACGUG